This 360-nucleotide ribosomal RNA is filed under the name Microsporidium sp. HEM-2006WG. RNAcentral's name for it is "partial 16S ribosomal RNA". It matches the Rfam family "Microsporidia small subunit ribosomal RNA", at positions 32 to 394 of the family's 1311-position model. Lineage: Eukaryota; Fungi; Microsporidia. The record is from RNAcentral.
UUCACCAUAAGUCUCCUUGGCAAAUCAUGCACUCUGGUGAAGCGAAAGUGGAACUGCGAACGGCUCACUAGAACGGUGAUCAUUUGAUCGUGUAGUAACGAUAACCGCGGGAAACUGUGGCUAACAACACGAGUAAAACGCCGACCCAUCAGUUUUAUCGUACGGUAAGGGCGUACGAUGGCUUUAACGGGUACGGGGGAUCGGGGUUUGAUUCCGGAGGGGGAGCCUGAGAAACGGCUACCAGGUCUAAGGACAGCAACGGGCCCUAAACUUGGCCCAUUGGAGAGAGGGAGUUUUGAAACGUAUUUUUUGGAACCGGGGUAGAAUACCCGUUAUUGAAUGGGGGGCAAGUCUGGUGCC